RNAcentral lists this ribosomal RNA (820 nucleotides) under uncultured Campylobacter sp. RNAcentral describes it as "bacterial SSU rRNA". It matches the Rfam family "Bacterial small subunit ribosomal RNA", at positions 563 to 1380 of the family's 1533-position model. The record is from RNAcentral. Lineage: Bacteria; Pseudomonadati; Campylobacterota; Epsilonproteobacteria; Campylobacterales; Campylobacteraceae.
AAGGGCGCGUAGGCGGAUUAUCAAGUCUCUUGUGAAAUCCAACGGCUUAACCGUUGAACUGCUUGGGAAACUGGUAAUCUAGAGUGGGGGAGAGGCAGAUGGAAUUGGUGGUGUAGGGGUAAAAUCCGUAGAUAUCACCAAGAAUACCCAUUGCGAAGGCGAUCUGCUGGAACUUAACUGACGCUAAGGCGCGAAAGCGUGGGGAGCAAACAGGAUUAGAUACCCUGGUAGUCCACGCCCUAAACGAUGUAUGCUAGUUGUUGGGGUGCUAGUCAUCUCAGUAAUGCAGCUAACGCAUUAAGCAUACCGCCUGGGGAGUACGGUCGCAAGAUUAAAACUCAAAGGAAUAGACGGGGACCCGCACAAGCGGUGGAGCAUGUGGUUUAAUUCGAAGAUACGCGAAGAACCUUACCUGGGCUUGAUAUCCUAAGAACCUUAUAGAGAUAUGAGGGUGCUAGCUUGCUAGAACUUAGAGACAGGUGCUGCACGGCUGUCGUCAGCUCGUGUCGUGAGAUGUUGGGUUAAGUCCCGCAACGAGCGCAACCCACGUAUUUAGUUGCUAACACUUCGGGUGAGCACUCUAAAUAGACUGCCUUCGUAAGGAGGAGGAAGGUGUGGACGACGUCAAGUCAUCAUGGCCCUUAUGCCCAGGGCGACACACGUGCUACAAUGGCAUAUACAAUGAGACGCAAUACCGCGAGGUGGAGCAAAUCUAUAAAAUAUGUCCCAGUUCGGAUUGUUCUCUGCAACUCGAGAGCAUGAAGCCGGAAUCGCUAGUAAUCGUAGAUCAGCCAUGCUACGGUGAAUACGUUCCCGGGUC